Molecule: ribosomal RNA, 1674 nt
Filed under: Triticum aestivum (bread wheat)
Lineage: Eukaryota; Viridiplantae; Streptophyta; Magnoliopsida; Poales; Poaceae
Description: partial small subunit ribosomal RNA
Source: RNAcentral
AUGGCGCUAUCAGCUCCUCCCAGUCAGGAACAGCCGUCGGGGAAGCAAUUCGGCUACCAGCUCGCUGCUGCUGUGAGGAGCAUCAACUGGACGUAUGCCAUAUUUUGGUCAGAAGUUCUGGCGUGGAAGGAUGGGUUCUACAACGGCGAGAUAAAGACAAGAAAGAUUGCCGGCUCGACCACUACGGAGCUUAGAGCAACUCUAGCAGACCCCGCAAAAUUUGCUCUUACAGCGGACGAGCGCGUCAUGCACAGAAGCAAGCAACUGAGGGAGCUCCACGAAUCGCUCUUGCCCGGCAACUCCAACAAUCGGGCAAGGCGACCUGCCGCCUCACUGUCACCGGAGGAUCUCGGGGACGGCGAGUGGUAUUACACCAUAAGCAUGACUUACACCUUUCACCCUAAUCAAGGGUUGCCAGGCAAAAGCUUUGCGAGCAAUCAACAUGUUUGGCUGUACAACGCUCAGAACGCAAACACCAGAGUUUUCCCCCGCGCGCUCUUAGCAAAGACAAUCGUUUGCAUUCCCUUAAUGGGCGGUGUGCUGGAGCUCGGAACGUCGGAUCAGGUUUUGGAGGACCCCGGCAUGGUGAAGCGGAUCAGCACGUCUUUCUGGGAGCUGCACUUGCCAUCAUCCUUGGAGUCGAAGGAUGCGAGCUCCAGCACAUCAGCAAACGAUACCAGGGAGGCCACCGACAUCAUCUUGUUCGAGGACUUUGACCACAACGACACAGUUGAGGGGGUCACCUCUGAGCAAAGGGAGGUCCAGUGCCUGUCCAACGUCAAUCUGGAGCGCCUCACAAAGCAGAUGGACGAGUUCCACAUCCUUCUCGGUGGACUGGACGUGCAUCCUCUCGAAGACAGAUGGAUCAUGGACGAGCCCUUUGAGUUUACGUUUUCCCCGGAACUGGCGUCGGCUAUGGAUAUGCCGAGCACCGACGAUGUCAUCGUCACUUUAAGUAGGUCUGAAGGCUCUCGUCCAUCCUGCUUCACGGCGUGGAAGGGAUCAUCCGAGUUGAAAUACGUGCCUGGCCAGGUCGUUGGGGAGUCACAGAAGUUGCUGACUAAAGUUGUGGCUGGUGGUGCAUGGGCGAGCAAUUAUGGCGGUCGCACCACGGUGAGAGCUCAGGAAAUUAACAACAACACCCAUGUCAUGACAGAGAGAAGACGCCGGGAGAAACUCAACGAGAUGUUCCUGGUUCUCAAGUCACUAGUCCCGUCCGUUCACAAGGUGGACAAAGCAUCCAUCCUCACAGAAACGAUAGGUUAUCUUAGAGAACUGAAGCAAAGGGUAGAUCAGCUAGAAUCCAGCCGGUCACCGUCUCACCCAAAAGAAACCACAGGACCGAGCAAAAGCCAUGUCGCCGGCGCUAGGAAGAAGAUAGUCUCGGCCGGAUCCAAGAGGAAGGCGCCAGGGUUGGAGAGCCCGAGCAAUGUCGCGAACGUGACGAUGCUGGACAAGGUGGUGCUAUUGGAGGUGCAGUGCCCGUGGAAGGAGCUGCUGAUGACACAAGUGUUUGACGCCAUCAAGAGCCUCUGUCUGGACGUUGUCUCCGUGCAGGCUUCCACAUCGGGUGGCCGUCUUGACCUCAAGAUACGAGCUAAUCAGCAGCUUGCGGCCGGUUCUGCUAUCGUGGCACCUGGGGCAAUCACUGAAGCGCUUCAGAAAGCUAUAUAG